UACGGAGGGGGCUAGCGUUGUUCGGAAUUACUGGGCGUAAAGCGUGCGUAGGUGGUUUUUUAAGUCAGGUGUGAAAUCCCUGGGCUCAACCUGGGAACUGCAUUUGAUACUGGAAAGCUAGAGUGUGGUAGAGGAUGGUGGAAUUCCCGGUGUAGCGGUGAAAUGCGUAGAUAUCGGGAGGAACAUCAGUGGCGAAAGCGCCACACUGGGUCUCAACUGACGCUGAGGCACGAAAGCCAGGGGAGCAAACGGG
RNAcentral lists this ribosomal RNA (253 nucleotides) under uncultured bacterium. Its description in RNAcentral is "partial 16S ribosomal RNA". It matches the Rfam family "Bacterial small subunit ribosomal RNA", at positions 524 to 776 of the family's 1533-position model. The record is from RNAcentral.